This is a long non-coding RNA of Agrilus planipennis (emerald ash borer), 1189 nucleotides long. RefSeq lists it as uncharacterized. The record is from RefSeq and is a predicted model, not a curated record. The transcript has 5 exons. NCBI's taxonomy places the organism in Eukaryota, Metazoa, Arthropoda, Insecta, Coleoptera, Buprestidae.
ACUGAUAAAAUGAAGCACAAAUCUACUUGCAACAUCCUGAACAACUUGAGCAACUGCCACAUGAAGAGUGACAAAUUGGUAAAGACUUUUACGACCAAUAGGUGAACUAAUGUCGUCCUGAUUUAGGUCUAAAGGUUGUCGUCGAUUGGAGUUCCUUCUUAACGUUUCUUAGCACGAGUGGGUUAUCUUCACUGCCUUUCACUAAUAGCAAAAACAAUUCGGAAUAGACAAAGGACGUAGCCAACAUAUUAAACGCGACAUUUACAAGAUACUCACCAGAACUUCCCCCAUUUACAGGCCCUUAAAACAUGCUUGUUUUUGUAAAUAAAACACUUCAUAGAUUUCGAGCAUCCAAGGGGAGAAACAGGAACCUAAAUGGGAUCUCGUCCAUCUGGUCACCUACCCAGGCUGAAUUAAAUAAAGAUCGAGUUUGCCACUUGUUAGCGCCACUCACAGCAAGUAUGCUAUACGGUAGAUUUUGAUGUCGAAGCCGUAAACAACAACGGCAAAUGCCGCGAUAAUAAAAAAGACGACGUAGCGAAAGCGGAAAGUACGACCGGCAAGACGGGUCUGAAACGUCGAAGAAGGCCAGUCCGCUUGUUGGUGCGGCAAGUGUUGGUUAUAGCAAUCAUGCUGGCCAUAGUUUGCGUACUUUCAGCGUUGGUUUGGUUCUUUCUUGGAUGGUUAGCUCUUGUUCAACUGCUUCUUGUUGUAUUUGUGGCAUGGUUUAUCGUUGGAAAAAAGUAUCGAUGGGUUUAUAUAGCGCUGAUGACCUUACCUCGCGAUGUCAAGUAAGUCAAUUGACCCUGCAUCUUUUUAAAUAGUAGCUUAUAAAAAAUUUUAAAAACAUGACCAUUUCGUACAAAAGGUCAUGUUUUUAUAAAACGGAAAAAAACUUUUUCAACUUUUAAACGUGUCUGACAGGUAAGUGUGUAUACAGGGUGGUGCAAUACGACCCACAGGUAAAAAACUUCACCGCAUACAAAUGUAGAAUAAAAUCCAAUAACUUUAUAAAAUAUCAUUUCUGGAAAUAUUUUCAUUCUACUUCUACAUGCUACUCAAAAUUAUAGUCUUUUUGUUCUUAAGGAUUUCAGUAUAGCUACCUUGAAAGAGGAACAUGCGUUUUUUUCCUAUUCUUUUUUAAGUUUAUAACUUGCUGUAAGCCUAAGUGUAUAUACAGGGUGACUAG